RNAcentral lists this long non-coding RNA (1929 nucleotides) under Elaeis guineensis (African oil palm). RNAcentral describes it as "long non-coding RNA (EGUI_LNC020831)". Lineage: Eukaryota; Viridiplantae; Streptophyta; Magnoliopsida; Arecales; Arecaceae. The record is from RNAcentral.
GAAGAAUUUAUACUCAUACGUAGUCUGGUAGUUAUUCAUUUAAAUCCAAAUUACAAGCUUUUGGGUUUAUUCAUUUAAAUCCAAAUUACAAGCUUUUGGGUUUCAUUUUCAUGCCUGCAUGCACUGAAGGCCAAAAUAUAGGGACAGAAAGACGAAGACAAUUGUAGUACUUCUGUUGCGCCUUGGACGUCUACGGAUGGUUGCGCGGCGGCCCCUUAAUAGGAGGACAGUCACUGACGGGGCCGGAAGCACAAUUCCCUCUCCCACUCGCUUCUGCUGCAAUAGCCAUUAUAAUGCAUGAGCUACUGAACUCCACGCAAUACAAUAGAAUUUUUAUUGUCUAACAUCAAAAUUCUAAUAAUACCCUCAAUGACCUAUAUAUAAUAAUGCUAGAAAGAUAACCUAAUUUAUUGUAAAUAAUUCUAUUGGAUUCCAACCAUUGGAGAUUUGAUGACCACCAAACACAAACGACAACAUAUUUAAUAACCACAAGGCGAUUAGACCCAAGCUUUAUGAAAAAAAUUGACAAUUUUAGAUUUAGCAGCAUUCUCAUAUUACCAGAUAUCUCCAAAGAGACAAUUUUAGAGUUUGCAACAAUCUCUCAAGAUCUCACUAAUUAUGAAUAUUAUUUACUAGUAUAUUAGUUAACAAAUAUCAUAAUGACAUUGCUAGUUCUCAGCACUUCAAGUUAUAUGCCAUAUAAUAAAAAUUUAAUACGGCAUUUAGGACAAAGUAUCACUAAUAAAAAAAAUACAUUCUGAAAAAUAGCGGCAUCUAAUGUAGCAAGAAAAAAAAAGAGACAUUUUUAACUUCAUAAGAUAACAAAUGCCACAAACAAUUUAUCACCCAAAAUUAUUCUUGUUAUAGCAAACAAAUUUCCAACUAUGAAGAAAUGCAACAUAACAUAUGUAAUGGGUGGCCUAUUAUGUAUACAAACAUAUGUUCUUACAUACAUAAAUGUGUAUGUGCUUACACACAUACACACAAAUAUAUAAGAGGGAGAGGCUAAACGCUUUGCAUGAACCCCUUGAAUAUAAGGUGUUAACUAAUUUUAAAUUCACCAAUAGGUUAUCCUAAUUGAGGAUCCAACCCAAAUGCAACAUGAUCUACAUAAUAACAAAUCAUUAAAAACAAAAAAUCAUAUAUAUAUUGAUACAAUAUAUCCAUCAAAUUGGUAGGAAAAUAAAUGAUAUUAAUUACAUUAGUGCGGUAAGUUACAUGGCAGGGAAUAGAAAUUAUAAAAUCACUUCCCAUACCAUAAUAUACACAUCUUAAGACAAAGAUAGAUUUAAAUUCAUAAAAAAAUUUAAUCAUUAAAUCAUGUACAGUGUAUGUUUAUAUAUAUAUAUAUAUAUAUAUCAGUCAACGUGGGAUCUAACAUAAUAACCUAAGCCAUUAGAUUUGAUAUACUAUCUUUCAACUACUAAAAAACAAAAUAUCAUUUCAUCUAGAGAUUUUAAACUAUGCAUCAAGUGCUCAAAAAUAGAUAGUUUAAAUAAAAUGAACCAAUAUUUAUUUUUUAACCACUAGAUUUAUAGAAUUUGGAUUUCCAAAUCAUAUGAUUAUCCUUGCUCAUCUUGCAUUUCAAUUGGUUAGGACCAACCUAACAUAUGCUAUUAUAUGGGCACCCAUACAAUAGCUCUACUCAUAUGUAGAGCCAUUUAGCAUUAUUUAUUAAAGAGAGAUUGCAUCAUGGGAUGUAUAAUAUAGUGGGAUCAAAUUUGCCUAUAAAACGAGAAAACGAAAAGUCACCUUGUGGCUUACCAAAAAAAGGGUCACCUUGUGGAGCUACGGCCAUGGGGAUGAGAGAACCGCCUGACAACAGAAGGAUGAUUAAUAGGAGAAGAGCCUUCAGAACCAUAUUGUUCUCAUAUAUAGACGGUACGAGCAAUAAACAUAUCUACCUGGAUAUAUAUAUAAGCUAGCGGA